GAAUUACUGGGCGUAAAGCGCGCGUAGGUGGUUUGUUAAGUUGGAUGUGAAAUCCCCGGGCUCAACCUGGGAACUGCAUUCAAAACUGACUGACUAGAGUAUGGUAGAGGGUGGUGGAAUUUCCUGUGUAGCGGUGAAAUGCGUAGAUAUAGGAAGGAACACCAGUGGCGAAGGCGACCACCUGGACUAAUACUGACACUGAGGUGCGAAAGCGUGGGGAGCACACAGGAUUAGAUACCCUGGUAGUCCACGCCGUAAACGAUGUCAACUAGCCGUCGGAAGCCUUGAGCUUCUAGUGGCGCAGCUAACGCAUCAAGUAGACCGCCUGGGGAGCACGGCCG
RNAcentral lists this ribosomal RNA (341 nucleotides) under uncultured Pseudomonas sp. Its description in RNAcentral is "bacterial SSU rRNA". It matches the Rfam family "Bacterial small subunit ribosomal RNA", at positions 548 to 888 of the family's 1533-position model. The record is from RNAcentral. Lineage: Bacteria; Pseudomonadati; Pseudomonadota; Gammaproteobacteria; Pseudomonadales; Pseudomonadaceae.